Molecule: ribosomal RNA, 468 nt
Filed under: uncultured bacterium
Lineage: Bacteria
Description: partial 16S ribosomal RNA
Rfam family: Bacterial small subunit ribosomal RNA
Source: RNAcentral
GAUGAACGCUGGCGGCGUGCUUAACACAUGCAAGUCGAACGGUGAAGGCGGAGCUUGCUCUGCUGGAUCAGUGGCGAACGGGUGGGUAACACGUGAGCAAUCUGCCCCUGACUCUGGGAUAAGCGCUGGAAACGGCGUCUAAUACUGGAUACGAGCUGCGAAGGCAUCUUCAGCAGCUGGAAAGAAUUUCGGUCAGGGAUGAGCUCGCGGCCUAUCAGCUUGUUGGUGAGGUAAUGGCUCACCAAGGCGUCGACGGGUAGCCGGCCUGAGAGGGUGACCGGCCACACUGGGACUGAGACACGGCCCAGACUCCUACGGGAGGCAGCAGUGGGGAAUAUUGCACAAUGGGCGAAAGCCUGAUGCAGCAACGCCGCGUGAGGGACGACGGCCUUCGGGUUGUAAACCUCUUUUAGCAGGGAAGAAGCGAAAGUGACGGUACCUGCAGAAAAAGCGCCGGCUAACUACGUG